Molecule: ribosomal RNA, 497 nt
Filed under: uncultured bacterium
Lineage: Bacteria
Description: partial 16S ribosomal RNA
Rfam family: Bacterial small subunit ribosomal RNA
Source: RNAcentral
GAUGAACGCUGGCGGCGUGCCUAAUACAUGCAAGUCGAGCGAACGGACGAGAAGCUUGCUUCUCUGAUGUUAACGGCGGACGGGUGAGUAACACGUGGAUAACCUACCUAUAAGACUGGGAUAACUUCGGGAAACCGGAGCUAAUACCGGAUAAUAUUUUGAACCGCAUGGUUCAAAAGUAAAAGACGGUCUUGCUGUCACUUAUAGAUGGAUCCGCGCUGCAUUAGCUAGUUGGUAAGGUAACGGCUUACCAAGGCAACGAUGCAUAGCCGACCUGAGAGGGUGAUCGGCCACACUGGAACUGAGACACGGUCCAGACUCCUACGGGAGGCAGCAGUAGGGAAUCUUCCGCAAUGGGCGAAAGCCUGACGGAGCAACGCCGCGUGAGUGAUGAAGGUCUUCGGAUCGUAAAACUCUGUUAUUAGGGAAGAACAUAUGUGUAAGUAACUGUGCACAUCUUGACGGUACCUAAUCAGAAAGCCACGGCUAACUACGUG